Molecule: ribosomal RNA, 256 nt
Filed under: uncultured bacterium
Lineage: Bacteria
Description: partial 16S ribosomal RNA
Rfam family: Bacterial small subunit ribosomal RNA
Source: RNAcentral
UACGUAGGGGGCUAGCGUUGUCCGGAAUCAUUGGGCGUAAAGCGCGUGUAGGCGGUCCGGUAAGUCCGCUGUGAAAGUCGGGGGGCUCAACCCUCGGAUGCCGGUGGAUACUGUCGGGCUUGAGUACGGAAGAGGCGAGUGGAAUUCCUGGUGUAGCGGUGAAAAUGCGCAGAUAUCGGGAGGAACACCAAUUGCGAAGGCAGCUCGCUGGGACGUUACUGACGCUGAGACGCGAAAGCGUGGGGGAGCAAACAGG